CAAGGCGACGAUCCCUAGCUGGUCUGAGAGGAUGACCAGCCACACUGGAACUGAGACACGGUCCAGACUCCUACGGGAGGCAGCAGUGGGGAAUAUUGCACAAUGGGCGCAAGCCUGAUGCAGCCAUGCCGCGUGUAUGAAGAAGGCCUUCGGGUUGUAAAGUACUUUCAGCGGGGAGGAAGGUGUUGUGGUUAAUAACCGCAGCAAUUGACGUUACCCGCAGAAGAAGCACCGGCUAACUCCGUGCCAGCAGCCGCGGUAAUACGGAGGGUGCAAGCGUUAAUCGGAAUUACUGGGCGUAAAGCGCACGCAGGCGGUCUGUCAAGUCGGAUGUGAAAUCCCCGGGCUCAACCUGGGAACUGCAUUCGAAACUGGCAGGCUUGAGUCUUGUAGAGGGGGGUAGAAUUCCAGGUGUAGCGGUGAAAUGCGUAGAGAUCUGGAGGAAUACCGGUGGCGAAGGCGGCCCCCUGGACAA
RNAcentral lists this ribosomal RNA (475 nucleotides) under Salmonella enterica. Its description in RNAcentral is "bacterial SSU rRNA". It matches the Rfam family "Bacterial small subunit ribosomal RNA", at positions 269 to 736 of the family's 1533-position model. Lineage: Bacteria; Pseudomonadati; Pseudomonadota; Gammaproteobacteria; Enterobacterales; Enterobacteriaceae. The record is from RNAcentral.